GAUAAACGCUGGCGGCGUGCUUAACACAUGCAAGUCGAACGAAGUUUUUCCUUCGGGAGAAACUUAGUGGCGGACGGGUGAGUAACGCGUGGGUAACCUGCCCUGUACAGGGGGACAACAGCUGGAAACGGCUGCUAAUACCGCAUAAGCACUUAGCACUGCAUGGUGCAUAGGGAAAAGGAGCAAUCCGGUACAGGAUGGACCCGCGUCUGAUUAGCCAGUUGGCAGGGUAACGGCCUACCAAAGCGACGAUCAGUAGCCGAUCUGAGAGGAUGUACGGCCACAUUGGGACUGAGACACGGCCCAGACUCCUACGGGAAGCAGCAGUGGGGAAUAUUGCACAAUGGAGGAAACUCUGAUGCAGCGACGCCGCGUGAGUGAAGAAGUAUUUCGGUAUGUAAAGCUCUAUCAGCAGGGAAGAAAAUGACGGUACCUGACUAAGAAGCACCGGCUAAAUACGUG
Molecule: ribosomal RNA, 462 nt
Filed under: uncultured bacterium
Lineage: Bacteria
Description: partial 16S ribosomal RNA
Rfam family: Bacterial small subunit ribosomal RNA
Source: RNAcentral